This 425-nucleotide ribosomal RNA is filed under the name uncultured Desulfobulbus sp. Its description in RNAcentral is "bacterial SSU rRNA". It matches the Rfam family "Bacterial small subunit ribosomal RNA", at positions 957 to 1382 of the family's 1533-position model. Lineage: Bacteria; Pseudomonadati; Thermodesulfobacteriota; Desulfobulbia; Desulfobulbales; Desulfobulbaceae. The record is from RNAcentral.
CAACGCGAAGAACCUUACCAGGCCUUGACAUGCAGAGAACUUUCCAGAGAUGGAUUGGUGCCUUCGGGAACUCUGACACAGGUGCUGCAUGGCUGUCGUCAGCUCGUGUCGUGAGAUGUUGGGUUAAGUCCCGCAACGAGCGCAACCCUUGCCUUUAGUUGCCAGCAGUUCGGCUGGGCACUCUAAAGGGACUGCCGGUGUUAAACCGGAGGAAGGUGGGGAUGACGUCAAGUCCUCAUGGCCUUUAUGACCAGGGCUACACACGUACUACAAUGGCCGAUACAAAGGGCAGCGACACUGCGAGGUGAAGCCAAUCCCGUAAAAUCGGUCUCAGUCCGGAUUGGAGUCUGCAACUCGACUCCAUGAAGUUGGAAUCGCUAGUAAUCGUGGAUCAGCAUGCCACGGUGAAUGCGUUCCCGGGUCUU